UAUCUCUCCGUACGGGGAAGGAUGAGAAGCUUCGACUAAGGUUCGAUUCGAGCGCAGCGAGAAAACGUUGCCGCAGGCAACGACCCGAAGGGUGAGGAGCGGAGCGACGAGUAAUCCUUCCCCCACCACCA
RNAcentral lists this small RNA (131 nucleotides) under Salmonella enterica. RNAcentral's name for it is "RtT sRNA". It matches the Rfam family "RtT RNA". Rfam says of the family: This family represents a bacterial cis-regulatory element known as RtT RNA. The exact function of RtT is unknown although it is thought that it may be involved in changing the cellular response in relation to amino acid starvation. Lineage: Bacteria; Pseudomonadati; Pseudomonadota; Gammaproteobacteria; Enterobacterales; Enterobacteriaceae. The record is from RNAcentral.